GCAGUGUCAGGAGAACGGUCUGGAAAGUCCGGCAGUAAAGGGUGAUAGCCCCGUAUCUGAAGAUGCUGUUAUUGUGAACUCGACGAGUAGGGCGGGACACGUGUUAUCCUGUCUGAAUAUGGGGGGACCAUCCUCCAAGGCUAAAUACUCCUGAUUGACCGAUAGUGAACCAGUACCGUGAGGGAAAGGCGAAAAGAACCCCGGCGAGGGGAGUGAAAAAGAACCUGAAACCGUGUACGUACAAGCAGUAGGAGCC
Molecule: ribosomal RNA, 256 nt
Filed under: Proteus mirabilis
Lineage: Bacteria; Pseudomonadati; Pseudomonadota; Gammaproteobacteria; Enterobacterales; Morganellaceae
Description: partial 23S ribosomal RNA
Rfam family: Bacterial large subunit ribosomal RNA
Source: RNAcentral